CCCUUAGAUGUUCUGGGCCGCACGCGCGCUACAAUGAUGAAUUCAACGAGUUUAUAACCUUGGUUGAAAAGCCUGGGUAAUCUUUUGAACUUUCGUCGUGAUGGGGCUAGACCCUUGCAAUUAUUGGUCUCCAACGAGGAAUUCCUAGUAAACGCAAGUCAUCAGCUUGCAUUGAUUACGUCCCUGCCCUUUGUACACACCGCCCGUCGCACCUACCGAUUGAAUGUUCCGGUGAGCUCUUCGGACUGCGCGGUCUGCAGUUUCUGCGUUCCGUGCGGAAAGUUGUGCAAACCUUAACAUUUAGAGGAAGGAGAAGUCGUAACA
Molecule: ribosomal RNA, 324 nt
Filed under: uncultured eukaryote
Lineage: Eukaryota
Description: partial 18S ribosomal RNA
Rfam family: Eukaryotic small subunit ribosomal RNA
Source: RNAcentral